This 97-nucleotide small RNA is filed under the name Vibrio cholerae O1 biovar El Tor str. N16961. The record is from RNAcentral. Lineage: Bacteria; Pseudomonadati; Pseudomonadota; Gammaproteobacteria; Vibrionales; Vibrionaceae.
GUUCGCUAGCGAAAACUAUAAUCAUAAACUGAGUCCUCGACUCAGCAUCUCAUAACGACAUCUUACUUACCCCCUCCUUAACCGGAGGGUUUUUUUU